AGCCACGGUGAGCUCAAAGCGAACUAUUUUUUCGUCUUUUACUGAAUAACAUCCUGUGCUCGUCGCAAUUAGUGACAUAUGUCUAUUUUUGGAAGGGUUCUCUUUGUGGAGUUAC
Molecule: non-coding RNA, 115 nt
Organism: Capsicum annuum
Lineage: Eukaryota; Viridiplantae; Streptophyta; Magnoliopsida; Solanales; Solanaceae
Source: Rfam